RNAcentral lists this small nuclear RNA (106 nucleotides) under Echinops telfairi (small Madagascar hedgehog). The record is from RNAcentral. Lineage: Eukaryota; Metazoa; Chordata; Mammalia; Afrosoricida; Tenrecidae.
GUGCUUAGCAUUAGCAGCACGUAUACUAAAAUUGGAAUUAUACAGUAGAUUAUCAUGGCCCCUGCACAAGGAUGACACGCAAAUUUGUGAAGCGUUCCAUAUUUAA